Molecule: long non-coding RNA, 864 nt
Organism: Hippocampus comes (tiger tail seahorse)
Lineage: Eukaryota; Metazoa; Chordata; Actinopteri; Syngnathiformes; Syngnathidae
Exons: 5
Source: RefSeq, a predicted model, not a curated record
AGAACAUCAGCCACCCACCUGAAUCUGAGACUCUGAAGUCAUGCUCGGAAGCUUCUCGUCACCGACGGAUACGGAAAUGACAGAUGUUUCUGGAGAGGAAGGUGACCUGAGGCACAGUGAGGAAUGUCUUCAUUUGCAGCAGUUCCGAGGGCAAACUGUUAUCCUCUACGCGCACAAGACACUUUUCAUAAAGCUCCUAUGGCACAGAAUACACAUAAUUACAUCAACCGGCUACAAUUUGUUUUAUUUGUGUGGAUUGAACACAUGGCUAUGUAAAUUUUAAAAAAUAUUAUUUGUGUAAACGCCACAUUGAGUUUCAUAAAGCAUUACAAGAAAUGAUUUACCAGUCCUUUCUGAAUCUUCAAGUCUGCGCUUCUAAAAAAAAAAAAAAUAACAUCAAUCAACAUGAGGAGAAACUUGAAGAUAAUCCAGAAAUUGUCCACAUAUUGUGUCGACAAUUUCUACCAACCGCUGCUGUCAAUCAGAGGACAGAUUUGAAGAUGGUCCAGCACUAUUUAAGGAGUGGUGUAAUGCAUUCACCUGGAUAGCAGGAGGCUGACGUGAUCCAUAUUGCACCGAAGACAGAACACAGGACUGCAAGACAGAGCAGCGUAUAAAACCUGAACCAGAGGAGGCAGCAGGUUCCACCCCAUACAUCUCACCAGUUCCUACACAGGAGGAAACAUUUUCAUGUCUACAUCUGAAUUUGAAGUUACACAUUUCAGCGCGGCACCACACAUGCCGCAAAACGCCAGCCGGUUCUGACGUCUACUCGAAAACAUGCAACAUAAUAGAAGAAGGAAAGGGCAGAGAAGGUCCCCAUCUAAGUGCUAGUAAUAGUUGGUUCUUCCCGCAAAGCUGUUC